CAAGCACCAGUGUAAUUUGACUCUCCAGAGUUGUUCCAGCCCAUAUAUGGAAUUGUGAUAUCUACCUAGGCCAACCUCAAGGAGAUGUGACUUUCCUGCCUGGGCCCUUCUCUCAGCAAGGAAAUUUUGACCUAUUGCACUCAGAUGAUGUUACUCUUCUGCAAGAGUCCUCAAAAAUGUGGGAGUUACUGCAUAAUGAUGGGCCCAGCACCCUAAUGAUGCUACGGUCCUGCUGGUGCCAGAGCCACAGACAGUAUUUUGACAUGUCUUCUGAUCAUUUUCACCUAGGUGAUGUUUCUACUCUCUUGCCUUGCCCGAACCACAGAGGAGAUUGUGACAUAUUGAUAAACCCAGCAUUAAGGGUCCUGGCCACAAGAAAGAUUAUGACAUCUCACUGGACCAGAACCCUCACAGGUGAUGUGGCAUUUCUGCUUGCUCCUUGCCCAUGGAUGAUAUAGUGCCAUAUACUCCAGAACAAAUAAGAGGAUGAAUCAUGACUCUUAAACCUGAAGCCAGUUCACAUCCAAGAUGGUGACUCCUACUCCUGAAACUUUUCACCAGUGUUAUUGUGACAUAUUCCAUUUCCCAUCUCUUGAGUGACUUAAUAAUCCUGCCUAAAUGUUGCCCACAAAUGAGAUUUGGACAUAUUCUUCAGCUGAGUGCCUUGGUGAUUUGACCAUCCUGUAUUAACAAUAUCCUCAGGAAGGACUGUAACAUGGCUUUGAACCCAUCAUCUAGUUAUGUUACUCUCCUCUCCUGCCUGGACCCUCCUUCCACUGGGUAUUACAGCAUUUCUAAGCAUGCCAUCCAAAUAAUAUGACCCUCUUGCCUGGUCCCUUCA
Molecule: long non-coding RNA, 841 nt
Filed under: Macaca fascicularis (crab-eating macaque)
Lineage: Eukaryota; Metazoa; Chordata; Mammalia; Primates; Cercopithecidae
Description: lncRNA (ENSMFAG00000062547.1)
Source: RNAcentral